AAACAACAGCAACAACAACAACAAACAAACAAAAAAAACGAACCUGUGAAUUUGUCAUGUAGAAUUUAAGCCCCAAAGGUCUGGCUUUUUAACGCUGGCUUGAGAUUGUAUCUCUUCUGUUCUCCCCAUAUCUUCAUGUCUGUUCCAGUUGUUGGUGAUAAAAUACCCCAACAAAAGCAACUUAAGGAGAAAGGGCUAAUCUGGCUCACAGGUUCAGGUUACAGUUGAUCAUUGUAGGGGCAUCAAGGCAACAGGAAGUUCAAGCAACCGGUCACAUCACAUUCACAGCCAAGAGCAGAGAACCAUGAAUUCAGGCAUGCGCACGUGUGUUCAGCUCUCUUUCUUCACUCAGACAGUUCAGAAGCUCUCUGCCUAGGGAAUGGCGCCACCCAUGGUGGGCAAAUCUUCCCACCUCAAUUAAUAUAAUCAAGACAAGUCUCCACAGACAUAACUACAGGGCAAACUAUACUACUUAAUUCCUCACUGAGACUCCCUUCUCCAGGUGACUCUAGAUUGUGACAAGUUGACACCGUACAGUGAUCUACCACCUUCCUACCUCCAUCUGUCUUUUCUCCACUGCCCACUGUUUCAGUUGCCUCUCAUUUCCAACCAUCCAAAUCCUACCUUUACCUUAAGGUUAUUUUCAGAUUUUCAGAGUCUUUCCCAAAAGUUCCAUCUUUUUCUGUUGUUGUUUUGUCUUGUCUUGUUUUUGUUGUUGUUGUUGUUGGUUGGUUUUCGAGACAGUUUCUCUGUGUAGCCACUUUCCCCUCUUCUGGACUCCCACAGUUCCUCGUUAGGACCAGGAACAUGGCAGGGGCAGGGUAACUUCUGAGCAGUGCUUGGCCUUUCCCAGUUUAGGGGAUUAAGUUUCUCUGUGAUUUUGCUUUAGGAAGGGUUAGGACUGUGACACACUGUACGGGUUAGGGUACAGAUAAGGCUGAUAUGGCAGAGGCCCCUAAAAGGCUAUCCAAACUGGACAGACAAGUUAUUUUCUCCCAUAUACCAACCUAAAGACCGUAGCAGUGAUCACAGCUGGGUAAGCAGUUAUACUCCAUGUAUGCCUUAGAUCUAGAAUGUUCCCUAAAGGCCGUCGAGUUGAAGGCUUGGUUUCCAGUGUGGUACUAUUGGAACUUGCUGGAAAAUUUAAGAGGUGGGCCCAUUAGGAAGAGUCUGGGCCAUUGGUGAUGUGUCCCUUGAAGGAGUCCCCUCUCUGUUUGCCUUUGGCCACCAUGAGGUGCCACUGUAUGCUUCUGCCAUGAUGUGCUGUCGUCUCUCCAGAAGCCCAAAAAGCUGUGGGCUGACUGAGGACUGAAACUAUGAGGCCAAAGAAAUCUUUUCCCUUGUUAUGUUGCUUU
RNAcentral lists this long non-coding RNA (1355 nucleotides) under Mus musculus (house mouse). RNAcentral describes it as "long non-coding RNA chr1:180787909-180789264". Lineage: Eukaryota; Metazoa; Chordata; Mammalia; Rodentia; Muridae. The record is from RNAcentral.